GGAGAAGUGGCCGAGCGGCUUAUGGCGCUUUCCUGCUAAGAAAGAGCGGUUUAACACCGUCGUGGGUUCAAAUCCUACCUUCUCCG
RNAcentral lists this transfer RNA (86 nucleotides) under Microcoleus sp. RNAcentral's name for it is "tRNA-Ser". It matches the Rfam family "tRNA". From Rfam's summary of the family: Transfer RNA (tRNA) molecules are approximately 80 nucleotides in length. Their secondary structure includes four short double-helical elements and three loops (D, anti-codon, and T loops). The record is from RNAcentral. Lineage: Bacteria; Bacillati; Cyanobacteriota; Cyanophyceae; Oscillatoriales; Microcoleaceae. RNAcentral also lists the same sequence under 1 other name.